CAUUGAUAGCUUAGAUUUAAAGCCACCUAUUUCAAGACAACCUUUAACUAAAUUUUCAAUACUUUU
RNAcentral lists this transfer RNA (66 nucleotides) under Glaphyrina caudata. RNAcentral describes it as "tRNA-Phe". Lineage: Eukaryota; Metazoa; Mollusca; Gastropoda; Neogastropoda; Fasciolariidae. The record is from RNAcentral.